AUAUAUAUAUAAUUAUAUUUAUAUAUAUAUAUAGAGAGAGAGAGAGAGAGAGAGAGAGAGAGAGAGAGAGAGAGAGAGAGAGAGAGAGAGAGAGAGUCCGGCUACUGUACUUCUAUGAGUAUAGAGCCUCUUGUACUCAUAAGUUUUUUGUCGUUUGAUCUACCUUUUAAUCAUUUUCACCCGUUAGAUUAUAUUAUCCAACUAACCACCCACUCAACCCUAGGGGGUCUAGUAUCAACCUAACCGUAACCACUCUCAUCCUAACCGCAUAUUUUUUUAUCCGAACGGUCGAAAAGUUAUAAGUACAAAGAACUCUAUACUCAUAUGAGUAUAGUAGCCCCAGCCAAUAUAGAGUCCGGCUACUAUGCUAUCGAUAGCACGGAGCGCUCCGUGCUAUCAAGUUGUUUUCGAUGAUGCGGCUUCCAAAUCGACGAUCGGCUCCGUUAGACUUGAUCUACACUAUUAAAAGUAUUUGGAAACUAAAUUUCAUAAUUUUUCGACAUCAUUUGACUAGUGAUCAAAAGAUCUCAAAAUUGACAAUUUUAAUGGCCGAUGUGGUGUGUUUGUGAGUUUAACGGUGUAAAACAAUCCAAAUGCGAUGAAAAUUUUAUAGAAAAUUCUUUUCACUAUUUAGAGUAAGAUCAGUAUAUCUGAUCUUGAAUUUAAAUCUUUUAUCAUCAUUUUUUAUGAGAUUUUUAUUUUCAGCCGUUCAAUUUUAGACUACUUGUUUGAUAGGUAAAUGAUAUCGAAAAAUUAUGAAAUUUAGUUUCUAAAUACUUUCAAUAGUGUAGAUCAAGUCUAACGGAGCCGAUCGUCGAUUUGGAAGCCGCAUCAUCGAAAAUAACUUGGUAGCACGGAGCGCUCCGUGCUACCGAUAGUAUAGUAGCCUAGUUCUAUAUAUAUAUAUAUAUAUAUAUACACUACUCACAAUUUUACUACAACUACCGACAUUUUCUAAAGCAAGUGGCAAAGGGCUUGGUGAUUGGUCUCCGAGAUCCAAGUUCGAAUCCUAGUUGAUUCACAUUUCUAGUUAAGUUUAUUUCUGAAUAAAAUAAAUGAAGCGUGUAGCGUGUUACCUAUCUCUCAAAAAAAAUUUUACUACAACUUAACAUAGCUCAUAC
This 1121-nucleotide long non-coding RNA is filed under the name Ananas comosus (pineapple). Its description in RNAcentral is "long non-coding RNA (ACOM_LNC013023)". Lineage: Eukaryota; Viridiplantae; Streptophyta; Magnoliopsida; Poales; Bromeliaceae. The record is from RNAcentral.